This is a long non-coding RNA of Selaginella moellendorffii, 1320 nucleotides long. RefSeq lists it as uncharacterized. Lineage: Eukaryota; Viridiplantae; Streptophyta; Lycopodiopsida; Selaginellales; Selaginellaceae. The transcript has 8 exons. The record is from RefSeq and is a predicted model, not a curated record.
GCGCCAGUCUCGCUGAAGAAGGUGUUGAACGCAUCGUCUCCGCCACCUAUGGUCUUGUCACUCGGCAUCUGCCCGUCCGGCUGCGGCGCACACGCAACAAGCACACGGUCAGAGGCAAUAGAGCUCCCAACACGCGUUCCCGACUUGGAUUCCAGCUUGCCCGAUGUGGAUUGAAAUGCACUCUCUCAUCUUUACGUACUGGCUCGGGAACUCGAACUUGGAAGAAUGUAUGAGCUGGUCUCUCUUCGUAAGGAGGUUGUGGCGAUGGACGAAGUAACCUGUAAACAACGGACACGGGCUAUAGAUUUCAACCGCAAGUAACCGCUGGAACCGCUAACGACCAGUUAGUGAAUCCCGUUUCCGUGACAACGGAACCGACGUGGUCUCGACGUCAUUCUACGUAAAUUUCCGCUGGUCUCGCUGGCAUGACAAGUGUAGAGCCUUAUGCUGUGGCCACAAUCGAAGCACAUCAUAUGGACAAAGAGGGACAGAUCAUUGUACACAGAAAGUGGCAUUGGCAACAAGAGAAUGUACACUCCCUUUUGUUUAAACUACGGCUGAGGAAGCAUACAGAGACCCCACUUAAGUGUACAGUGAUGUUUCUAGAAGAUGUUUUGCGUCUCGGGGAAUCGUUUUCCUGCUUUUUAUUUUCUUUUCUCUCUCCUUUUGAUUUUCUCUUUCCCAGAUUUCAAUCUUCUAGAAGAAGAAGAAGCUGACACAGGGUCGAGGCUACUUAUUAAUGUCGCUGCCCAGCGUGGAAAUGUUGGCAACUGAUCAACGACUCUUUGGAGAGGAGGAAAGAUGUCACUAUUCACGAGAUAUGUUGACUGGAAACACGCGACCGCGAGCUUUGAACCACACGAACUCCAGGCAGUGACGAGAACUUUAAGAGCCAUUUUGUGUAUUCAAAGACUGCACGAAGGAAGGUUCCAUUCGUGCUUUGUACAAAGCUUAUGCAGAAGCACGCGGAAAGGAAAGAGAUCCGCGGAGCUGCUUCAUGGAAGUUGUGAGACUCAACUGUUGCGGAUUGCGGCACGCAGACGUAGCGAGAAAUUUCUACAGGAUGUUUUCUAAUCAGUCCAUUCCGUCCAGGCAGGGUGGAACAGGAACAGUGGAAGAAGCUUCUACUGGUGGCACGAAAGUAAACGUUUGAUAUCGCAAGACAAAAGCGAGGAAAGAGACCAGCAAAGCUGCGCGUGAUUAAAUUCGUAGCCGGCAAGCUUUGCAAGGCUUGUACGUUGAGAAAAAAACCCACCGAGAAUCGCUCGCCAAGUUCCCAUGGUUUUGAGAUUCUCGUGGAACAACACACAAACUUCACCA